Molecule: long non-coding RNA, 704 nt
Filed under: Physcomitrium patens
Lineage: Eukaryota; Viridiplantae; Streptophyta; Bryopsida; Funariales; Funariaceae
Description: long non-coding RNA (PPAT_LNC005565)
Source: RNAcentral
UAAGAUCAAUAAUUAAUUCAUUAAUUAUUGAGGUUUAAAUCUGUUAUUAGAAUUAUUAGGGUUUGGUUAGGAUUUAGUUUGGGAUUUAGGGUUUGGAUUAGAUUUUGAUUUAGGGUUUAGGAUUUUAUUAGGAUUUGAUUUAGAAUUUAGGAUUUGGAUUAGGGUUUGGUUUAGGAUUUGGUUAGGAUUUGGUUUAGGAUUUAAGAUUUGGAUUAGGAUUUGGUUUAGGAUUUGAUUAGAGUUUGAUUUAAGAUUUAGGAUUUGAUUAGGAUUUGGUUUAGGAUUUUGUUGGAUUUUGGUUUAAGGUUUAUUUAGGAUUUGAUUUAGGAUUUAGGAUUUUAUUAGGAUUUAAGAUUCAAUUAGUUUAGGCCUAAAGUUUAAAUGAAAUUCAAUAGGAUUUUAACUAGAAUUAAAUUAAGAUUGAAUUGAGAUGUAUUUGAGUGAUAUUUGUGUUCUUUCUAAUGUUUCUUUAAGAAUUUUUAUUGUUUGUUUGAAAUUUCUUUGAGAUUUUUUUUGAAUUUGAUUAAGCUUGCUUAGCAUUAUUAUAAUCUAGUUAGAGAAUUGUUAGUAUUCUAUUAGAAUUAAGAUUUCGUUAUUACAAUUUCUAUUCUUUUUUCGACAACCAAGUGCUUGGAGCAUUCUCAAGCAAGACUUCACGUAUUACGACAGCGUUCUCUUCCAAUAUAAUUUGAUGCUCACAAUUU